GCAGGAAGGAGAGAGAGAGAGAGAGAGAGAGAGAGAGAGAGAGAGAACCAAAAUGCACUCAAAGAAGAUAAAGGUAUGUAUUCAAGCAGUUAUUACCAACAUCCCCUUUACAUGGCAAUGGAACAGAUGCAUUAGGUUGAUCCAACUUCUGCCGCUUUGGCGGUCCAUCUACUGACCCAUUUUCUGCAUCCCCUUCAUCUUCAUCCUCAUCAGCACCCAAC
This is a long non-coding RNA of Telopea speciosissima, 221 nucleotides long. RefSeq lists it as uncharacterized. Lineage: Eukaryota; Viridiplantae; Streptophyta; Magnoliopsida; Proteales; Proteaceae. The transcript is spliced from 2 exons. The record is from RefSeq and is a predicted model, not a curated record.